This 1047-nucleotide ribosomal RNA is filed under the name Lactiplantibacillus plantarum. RNAcentral describes it as "bacterial SSU rRNA". It matches the Rfam family "Bacterial small subunit ribosomal RNA", at positions 66 to 1094 of the family's 1533-position model. Lineage: Bacteria; Bacillati; Bacillota; Bacilli; Lactobacillales; Lactobacillaceae. The record is from RNAcentral.
GCUUGCAUCAUGAUUUACAUUUGAGUGAGUGGCGAACUGGUGAGUAACACGUGGGAAACCUGCCCAGAAGCGGGGGAUAACACCUGGAAACAGAUGCUAAUACCGCAUAACAACUUGGACCGCAUGGUCCGAGCUUGAAAGAUGGCUUCGGCUAUCACUUUUGGAUGGUCCCGCGGCGUAUUAGCUAGAUGGUGGGGUAACGGCUCACCAUGGCAAUGAUACGUAGCCGACCUGAGAGGGUAAUCGGCCACAUUGGGACUGAGACACGGCCCAAACUCCUACGGGAGGCAGCAGUAGGGAAUCUUCCACAAUGGACGAAAGUCUGAUGGAGCAACGCCGCGUGAGUGAAGAAGGGUUUCGGCUCGUAAAACUCUGUUGUUAAAGAAGAACAUAUCUGAGAGUAACUGUUCAGGUAUUGACGGUAUUUAACCAGAAAGCCACGGCUAACUACGUGCCAGCAGCCGCGGUAAUACGUAGGUGGCAAGCGUUGUCCGGAUUUAUUGGGCGUAAAGCGAGCGCAGGCGGUUUUUUAAGUCUGAUGUGAAAGCCUUCGGCUCAACCGAAGAAGUGCAUCGGAAACUGGGAAACUGGAGUGCAGAAGAGGACAGUGGAACUCCAUGUGUAGCGGUGAAAUGCGUAGAUAUAUGGAAGAACACCAGUGGCGAAGGCGGCUGUCUGGUCUGUAACUGACGCUGAGGCUCGAAAGUAUGGGUAGCAAACAGGAUUAGAUACCCUGGUAGUCCAUACCGUAAACGAUGAAUGCUAAGUGUUGGAGGGUUUCCGCCCUUCAGUGCUGCAGCUAACGCAUUAAGCAUUCCGCCUGGGGAGUACGGCCGCAAGGCUGAAACUCAAAGGAAUUGACGGGGGCCCGCACAAGCGGUGGAGCAUGUGGUUUAAUUCGAAGCUACGCGAAAGAACCUUACCAGGUCUUGACAUACUAUGCAAAUCUAAAAAGAUUAGACGUUCCCUUCGGGGGACAUGGAUACAAGGUGGUGCAUGGUUGUCGUCAGCUCGUGUCGUGAGAUGUUGGGGUUAAGUCCCCGCAAG